This 433-nucleotide ribosomal RNA is filed under the name uncultured bacterium. RNAcentral's name for it is "partial 16S ribosomal RNA". It matches the Rfam family "Bacterial small subunit ribosomal RNA", at positions 29 to 507 of the family's 1533-position model. The record is from RNAcentral.
AACGAACGCUGGCGGCAGGCCUAACACAUGCAAGUCGAACGCACCUUUCGGGGUGAGUGGCAGACGGGUGAGUAACGCGUGGGAAUCUACCCUUCUCUACGGGAUAGCUCCGGGAAACUGGAAUUAAUACCGUAUACGUCCUGAGGGAGAAAGAUUUAUCGGGGAAGGAUGAGCCCGCGUUGGAUUAGCUAGUUGGUGGGGUAAAGGCCUACCAAGGCGACGAUCCAUAGCUGGUCUAAGAGGAUGAUCAGCCACAUUGGGACUGGGACACGGCCCAAACUCCUACGGGAGGCAGCAGUGGGGAAUAUUGGACAAUGGGCGCAAGCCUGAUCCAGCCAUGCCGCGUGAGUGAUGAAGGCCCUAGGGUUGUAAAGCUCUUUCAGUGGGGACGAUAAUGACGGUACCCACAGAAGAAGCCCCGGCUAACUUCGUG